UAUCAAAUCCCUAAGUUCCUAACUCUUUAUCUCUCUCUCUCGAUCGACUACCUCCUCCGCCCCCAGUCCGCUGCGCCGCCUCCCUCGGUCCGACUCACCUCCGGCAGCCUCCCUCUGGUCCGACCGUCCCCCGAUCUGACUCCGUCUGCCCCACCCCGUAAUCCGCCUCUACCUCCCAUCAAAUCCUCCGCCCCAUCAAAUGGAGACUUAAAUCGAGCCCUAAUCUCCCAACCCUCUGCAAUCGACCGUGGUCCGAGCAUCCACCAAUGCUGCCAGAAGCUGACGCCGUCGACCGUUGCACGUUCCGUCCGAUGACUAAGCCUCUGCUCCCAUUCCCGGCGGCGAAGCCGGACAAAGCCUCUACUUCCGCUCCACACGCUGUCGCACCGACGUUUCUCCCUCUCUUGUCUCAGGGUUUAGGUCUCUCUCACACAUUCUCUAUCUCUCUCUCUCUCUCUCUCAUACACAAUUUCUAUAUAUCUUCUUCUCUAUCUAAUUGCUCUUCCUCUUUCUCUCUAACAAUGUGUCUUUCCCUCCCCAGGCCGAUUGCAGCUGUGAGUUUUCUUCCUUGCAUUAUUUGUCUCCAAAUGUGAGAUUGGGCUCUUUUUUUUGGAUUUCUAACAAUUUGCAACUUUGCUUUGUUUGUGAGGCUAUUGUUGUUGAUGAAUUUUGGGGCUAUUGCAGUUUUGAUGAAUUUGAAAUUGGUGGUGAUGGUUGCAGCUGUGAGUUUUCUUCCUUGCAUUAUUUGUCUCCAAAUGUGAGAUUGGGCUCUUUUUUUUGGAUUUCUAAAAAUUUGCAACUUUGCUUUGUUUGUGAGGCUAUUGUUGUUGAUGAAUUUUGGGGCUAUUGCAGUUUUGAUAAAUCAACGGGGUAUACAGAUCUCACACCCUCUCUAUAUUUUUGGUGCAAUUAUGUACUUAGAUUUCAUGUAUAAAAGAAUAAAACACAUAGAGAGAGUUGGCAUGCUCUGAAAACGAUUUGUUUAUCUGCUGCAGCUGAGAGGAGCAAAAAUUCUGAAAAUGAAUUCAAAACCCUCCCAAAUGGUCUCAAGUUAGUAUAUGAUAACAACUCUCAAAUUCUUUGCUUUUACAUUUUAAGUAUAAACUGCUAAGUCUUAUAAUCAUUUAUGUUUAUGUAUUAGUAUUAGCAUUAUUAAGCUAUUUUGUAAGGCAUGUAGUUGCUGAAUUUGAUGAUAGCUAGGCUUGAUUUUGGUAUGUACUAUGAUUUGAAGACUAGAGACGGACUUGAAGCUGUAAAGGGAUCUCGGGUUAUAGUAUGAUUGUGGCACAGUCAACACUUGGCUAUGCUCCUAAUUGGUAAGUCUAGGAAGAAGUUGCUGAGUAUAUGUAUUUGAUUGUGUAAAUCUGUCAAUUGAUAUCUCGCCUGUCAUCAUGGACCAAUUUUGUUUGGGCUUUCUGGAGCUUCAUAUUCAAUCCAUAUGCACUUUAGGAAUACUGAUUCUAGUCUCAUUAGUUCCUUUUUUGAUGACAUUGAUGAAGCUAUUGAUUUUUAUUCUGAAGAUAGUUUUUUUUUUUCAUGAUUAACCUGCGGCUUUGCACUUAAUGCAAGAUGAUAAUCUACGGGGGCUUAUGCCUUCGAUGGAAGCUACUUCAGAUGGCCUAACCACAUCUGCUUCUUGAGGACUAUGAGGGGCUGCAGAAGAAUUGCAGCACGAACAUGAGUGCGAUUUUAUUACAGGAAUUGCCAAGAGAGAUACAACAACCCUAGAGGAAGAGAGCUGGCAAUAGUCCGAGUGCUAGCACUGUGUUGAAAUGCAAUCACCCAUGCCAAUGGCAGUAAGAGCAGUCGAUGUGAGCUUCUGCUAUCGGACACUCGCAAAGGUGAUACCCCGAGGCUGCUCUACAUUUACAAAAGAUGGGGCAUCUUGCAUUUACACUAUCAAAGAAGGGGCUGGGUCGGGGCCGGGGUCGUUUGUUGUGAGGAAAACCUAUUCAGGUGUGGCGAAUGCAAAGCCAACAUCAUCUUCUAAGUACUCCAUAGAACAAAAUAAAAUCUCUAAUGAUGUAGUGAACAUUCGUAUACUAACACAACACAAACAUAUUAAUGAGAGAUGCUAUGAUUCUGUUUAAAUAAUGCUGCUCCUUGAUUUUGCAUUUAUAAUGCAAUUUGUGAUACUGCUGCUAUACCCAGAGAGAGAGGAGAGAGUUGUGGCAGUUAACUAGGAUAAUGUCAUAUAGCCUAUUGCAUAGCUGCUACCCUUAUCCUUGGCAAAUAUACUGAAAAUUCAAGGAGAAUAGUUGUUUUGUGGUAGUAGUAUUUGUGAGCUCUUUUUGUUCUUUUACUCCAUACACCGUUGAGAUUUUGUUUUGUUGUUAGUUUUUGUAUUCUGUGUCUAAAGUGGUUGCUGAGAAAGCUGCAUGACAAUUUGUGGAGGAAAAUGGCGUGGACAUAGUCGUGCUGAAUCCAGGAGUGGUGGCUGGUCCUAUUAUGGUGCAGCUUUUUAGAUGUUGUAGGAUUGUCAUAUGAAAAAUACUAUUAUGCUGUAGCUUUUUGGAUAUUCAUUAUAGUGUUGGGACAUGUUGUAAAACAAUGGAUCUUGUUUUGUGGAUGUUGGAUUAUUAGUUGUUAUCAAUGUUUAAAUGAGCAUUUUCAGUA
This is a long non-coding RNA of Salvia miltiorrhiza (redroot sage), 2616 nucleotides long. RefSeq lists it as uncharacterized. Lineage: Eukaryota; Viridiplantae; Streptophyta; Magnoliopsida; Lamiales; Lamiaceae. The record is from RefSeq and is a predicted model, not a curated record. The transcript has 5 exons.